GCCCGGAUAGCUCAGUCGGUAGAGCAUCUG
This 30-nucleotide non-coding RNA is filed under the name Macaca fascicularis (crab-eating macaque). RNAcentral also lists the same sequence under 2 other names. Lineage: Eukaryota; Metazoa; Chordata; Mammalia; Primates; Cercopithecidae. The record is from RNAcentral.